Molecule: ribosomal RNA, 256 nt
Filed under: uncultured Glomus
Lineage: Eukaryota; Fungi; Glomeromycota; Glomeromycetes; Glomerales; Glomeraceae
Description: partial 18S ribosomal RNA
Rfam family: Eukaryotic small subunit ribosomal RNA
Source: RNAcentral
AAGCUCGUAGUUGAAUUUCGGGGUUAGUAGGUUGGUCAUGCCUCUGGUAUGUACUGGUCUCACUGAUUCCUCCUUCCUUAUGAACCGUAAUGCCAUUAAUUUGGUGUUGCGGGGAAUUUGGACUGUUACUUUGAAAAAAUUAGAGUGUUUAAAGCAAGCUAACGCUUGAAUACAUUAGCAUGGAAUAAUGAAAUAGGACGUUCGAUCUUAUUUUGUUGGUUUCUAGGAUUGCGUAAUGAUUAAUAGGGAUAGUGGG